CUCAUAUAUAAGCAAGGACAAGAAGGAAGUUGCUCUCUUUCUCUUCAUCCUGCUCUCUUCUCUACAGAGCUGUCAUUUGAUCCCAGGAAGAGGACACCAGCGGAAGGCAUCCUUGAUAAGAAAGGCUGACAGAAGAUUAAGAAAUGAGCAAUUGUCAUGUUGGGAUAAGUGGACACUACUGAUGCCAGAAGACUGCUCUCUCUCAAGCAGCUCAAAACCAGCCUGGAGGUAGAGUCAGUGGACCAGAUCAGUGGCCAGGUGUUGAAACAGUUCCUACAGCAGUUCUGAAGCCAGAAUGGACCCUUGAAUUCAUCCCAAAUUGACAAAAGAGAGCCCAGGCCUUUUAAGGGCAGGAGAGCAGCUCUAUGCUAGGUGAACCUGGGAAAGGAGAGGUAUGACCAUGGGCUGGGCGCCCCCUUCAGGAAGCUGAGGCAAUUCCUGCAAUCCUGUCCGAAGAUUUAUAAGGACCUUUGAUGUAUUUCUUCAACAACUGGAAUCACUGUUGCCAAAUAAAGGGUCAGUUAAUCGGAUAAUUCUAAUUCUGUAUUUUGAUCAAGAUCUUGCUUUCCACUGACUUAGUUAGGUCCGUUGAGCUUUGGAGCCACACGCACCCCUUUUGUUGUUAAAUCCCAGAGCUCCUGUUCCCAAGACUGCACCUUUGCAUUUUGAGCACACACUGACUCAGAGACAACUAGGCACGCAUCCCCUCCGGGGUCCUCAUGGGGGAGCUGUCAUCUUCCAACCACAUAACCAUAGCAUGCCAUUGCAGUGGCAACCCCGCAGGCGGGCCCCCCUCUAAAGGCCGCCCAGCCCCCGCGACGCCCCGGCUCAGCUGCAGGCAGCGACACUCCGGAGCCGGCUGCCGGGUUGGGUCUCCUGCUCUCGGCGGGGGAGCAGGAGCGCGCCCGCCCACGCCCACGCCCACGGCCCCCACACUCGUGAGCGCACACCCCGGCGCGCGCACGCCCGCACACCAGGGCGCACGCACAGCACACCGGGGCCACAGACGGGCUCUGAGCGGCUGCGAGUGGGGACGCAGCCGGAUUCCCCUCCAAAGGCGCUGGGACCAACCCGCCCCGCCCCGCCCCUCUAACUCCCCAGUCCGGGCGCAGCUCCGUGGGCUGCAAAGUUUGCAGCGUGAGGCAAUCAAGGGAGCGCGCCGGCGCGGGCUCGGCUGGG
This 1179-nucleotide long non-coding RNA is filed under the name Cricetulus griseus (Chinese hamster). Its description in RNAcentral is "lncRNA (ENSCGRG00015030208.1)". The record is from RNAcentral. Lineage: Eukaryota; Metazoa; Chordata; Mammalia; Rodentia; Cricetidae.